UGGUCCACACUGCACCCAUUUCAAGGGCCUUAGCUAUACACAGGAUUCUACCCACUGAGGUCCCUAAGAUCUAAAUUCCCCUUUAGGAUCUGGAUUUUAGUUUUAGGGCUUUGAUGGUCUAUGUACGAAAUGUGCUCCAGACGGUUUCAGUUUUGCUGCAUGCAGCUAUUUCACAGGCUUACUACAGCUGCCUUUGAUCCUCUUUGAGGUUCGCGUGUGGAAAUCUCUGGCUUUCAUGUGGGGAGAAUGCAGCCAACUGUACAAAGGAUCUCUUCUGAAAGCAUUCCAAACAAGGAUACAGCUACUACUGCAAAACAUUUGUUCCACUGUCACCACUGCCAAGAAAGGACUGAAGCUGUGAAAUCAAAACUUCAGAAUCAAAUUAUGGAGUGAAAGCAUUCCUGCAGUGCAAAUCAGCUGUCGGGUGCUCUUUCUUUUGAGUGAAGGUAGGCUUGAGUGGGCAAUGAGAGUAACUUGCCCAGAUGCCCCCAGAAACCCAGCACAGAUUGCUUCAAAGGAGAUUAAGCAAAUUCAGACAGCA
Long non-coding RNA from Podarcis raffonei (Aeolian wall lizard), 541 nucleotides. RefSeq lists it as uncharacterized. The transcript is spliced from 2 exons. NCBI's taxonomy places the organism in Eukaryota, Metazoa, Chordata, Lepidosauria, Squamata, Lacertidae. The record is from RefSeq and is a predicted model, not a curated record.